Molecule: ribosomal RNA, 390 nt
Filed under: uncultured bacterium
Lineage: Bacteria
Description: bacterial SSU rRNA
Rfam family: Bacterial small subunit ribosomal RNA
Source: RNAcentral
AAUCAACGCUGGCGGCGUGCCUAACACAUGCAAGUCGAACGCGAAAACCCCGCAAGGGGUUAGUAGAGUGGCAAACGGGUGAGUAACACGUGGGUGACCUGCCUUCGAGUGGGGGAUAACGUCCCGAAAGGGACGCUAAUACCGCAUGACAUCCUGCUUUUGGAAAAGCGGAGAUCAAAGCUGGGGAUUCGCAAGAACCUGGCGCUUGAAGAGGGGCCCGCGCCUGAUUAGCUAGUUGGUAGGAACGGCCUACCAAGGCGACGAUCAGUAUCCGGCCUGAGAGGGCGGACGGACACACUGGGACUGAGACACGGCCCAGACUCCUACGGGAGGCAGCAGUGGGGAAUUGUUCGCAAUGGGCGAAAGCCUGACGACGCAACGCCGCGUGGA